Long non-coding RNA from Pan troglodytes (chimpanzee), 1628 nucleotides. RefSeq lists it as uncharacterized. Lineage: Eukaryota; Metazoa; Chordata; Mammalia; Primates; Hominidae. The record is from RefSeq and is a predicted model, not a curated record. The transcript is spliced from 4 exons.
GGAAGGAUAUUUUAAAAGGAACUUUCAGUGAUAAUGAACAAAACUCAGGAGCUAUGUGGAUGACAGGAGCACCUAGGUGACCGACUUUACCCACUUCAAAUGCUACCUUGACCCUAGCACUCUCUCCACCCUGCAUCCUCACCUCAGACCAUCUGUUGGUUAGGCCAACAGCUCACCAUCCAUUCAUGCCCUGCCUAGACCAACAGCUCACUGUUCAUGCCCUACCCUGCCCUGCCCAGCCCUCCUCUCUGGCCUUCUGCCACGUGAGGUUCUUAGCAGCACAGCCUUCACCUCCGAGAAGGCGCAAUGGGAAAGACAGGUCACUCACAUGUCAGCCAGGAGUGCAGUGGCACGAUCAUACCUCACUGUAACCUCGAACUCUUGGACUCAAGUGAUCCUCCCACCUCAGGCUCCCAAGUAGCUAAGACUACAGGACAACCUGAACUCCUCAGCAUGACUUCAAGGCCUUUCUCAGUCUUCCCCCAUCGACCUCUCAUCUUACCAUGUCCUCCCACACUGCUCGCUCCUGGCACUCCAUCUGGCGCAGAGUCCCUGGCACAGAAAGCUCCUGGACUUUGGAAAGGUGCAGCUGGAAGAGAAGGGAAGUGAUGCGCAGCCCCCUAUGAAGUCACUCCACCUUGUGACUUCCACCCUCUACCCUGCUGUCCCACAGAGCUGACCUGACAACUGCCACGGCCCCUGACCCUGACUAGAUGAACCUGGGUGGUGGGGGUGGGGGUGGGGCUGCAUUGCCAGCCCCUCAUCAUCUCAGGAAGUGAAGCCUGGGCCAGGGGCUACAGAUGCCCCAUCUCUCCAGGCUGACUUGGGGAUCUGCAGGUUACAGAGUCCCUGAUUUAACCCAGCAGAUUCUAAUGGCCAGAGUUCAGAGAAGAGAGGAAUUCCUUUGAGGCAUGCAGAACCCUUAAAGCAUGGCUCUGCCCAGGUCCAAAGACCCCUGGAGAGCCCUAUACCACAUCCUCAAGGCAGAAAGAAACUCAGGUCUCUCUUUUUCUGAAUUGGUGAGGCUCUUUUCUCCUCCCAUCUGGUUUCCACUUCCUUAGGCACGUCCCUGAACCCAUGUGGCCACUGGGUGGCACUGUUGGAUGAGCCUAGAAUUUCAGGUGACCAGCAAGCAUCCCAAGACUCCUGGUUGCGAGUGUGAGAGGGACAGGAAACCACAGAGGUUCUCCUCCCCAGGCGCCCCGACCCUCUGUCCUUCCUCCUAGCUGUCGUUUGUGCCCCAGGCUCUCUUCCACUCCUAAGUCAUCUUCCCUGUACUCUUCUAGACACACGUUGCUUCUGCAACACCAGGAAUGCCAGGAUGAUUUAGCCACCUCCUCACUCCUCUACCUUUCCCUCCCCUGCUUCAAAGACUUGGGUCGAUCGAAGCACCAAAGCAUCACUGUUGCUGACACUAACAAGUAGUGCCAAGGGAUUGCCUUUAAGGAAGAUCAGGAGCGGAACAUCUGGUGGCAAAGAAAAUCUUUCUAAUAGCCCCAUUCUAGUGACCAACUUCAACCUCCUCAUAGCAGGAGAGUUCGGGAGUAGGGGACUUAGGAUGUUUUGUUCUUUUAAUCAAUUCAGAAAAUAUGUAUGUUUGAAAUAAAAAUAAAAAUACUUGAGCCAGA